Molecule: ribosomal RNA, 253 nt
Filed under: uncultured bacterium
Lineage: Bacteria
Description: partial 16S ribosomal RNA
Rfam family: Bacterial small subunit ribosomal RNA
Source: RNAcentral
GACAGAGGGUGCGAACGUUGUUCGGAAUUACUGGGCGUAAAGCGCGUGUAGGCUGUUCGGAAAGUCGGGUGUGAAAGCCCUGGGCUCAACCUAGGAAGUGCACUCGAAACUCCCGAACUCGAGUCCCGGAGAGGAAGGCGGAAUUCUCGGUGUAGAGGUGAAAUUCGUAGAUAUUGGGAAGAACACCAGUGGCGAAGGCGGCUAACUGGUCCAGUACUGACGCUGAGGUGCGAAAGCGUGGGGAGCAAACAGG